Musa acuminata subsp. malaccensis (wild Malaysian banana) is the source of this 649-nucleotide non-coding RNA. The record is from RefSeq and is a predicted model, not a curated record. NCBI's taxonomy places the organism in Eukaryota, Viridiplantae, Streptophyta, Magnoliopsida, Zingiberales, Musaceae.
CCUUCAAAUCUGGAGCGGCUGUCGAUGUUUCUCUUCUCCCCAACUCCAUGCUGCCUCAGGUUGAACUCUUCGUCUUGGAUUCCAGAUUUCCAUUUUUUGAUCCUGUGAAGUGCUCGAUUCCGUUUAAUUUUGUUUUCCCCACCGAUCAUUACGAUCCUGAUGGUGAGAACGAUGCACAAAUCGAAGGCUUGGAAGCGUCCUACCGAGGAAAAAUGCCUUCUGAGUUCAAAAAAUGUGCUAUAUUAACGAUCGUCUCCUCGACAAGUGACCUCCUCCAGUGCUCCGCUCCCUGUCGGAGGUCUUGUGUGAGGAAGACGGAAAUAUUUUCCUGAUGGCUUUUCUGCUUAUGUUUAACCAUGUGGAUUUUGAUUGCUCUCUUUAGUUUGUUCUUGAUAGGUGCCUGAGUUACCACAUCGAUCCUUUGCCACUUUUUAAGUUUUCGGAUCGGCUCUUCUCUUGAUAUGAUUAGGGUUCUCAAGUUCUCGAUGUAUGUUUUCUUCUCCUCGCGAUGCAAUGUUGGCUUCGCACGAGCACAGUGAACACCGAAGUCUAUCAAAUGAGUAAUCCAUCAAUUGAGCACACGAGCUCAUCACUACUGUCACUUAUUGCACUCUCUGAUUCCGCACAAGAUUGGAAAGCCAUUCUUUAA